GGAUUCCCCUGUACUGAUUCUUUCUUUUCCUUUUCGCUGACUGUUCGAAGGAUUCAUCAGAAUCUACCAGUUUGGCAGCAGUUGACCUUUCUCGGGGCGUUAGGGUUUUGGGGGCGAAGACGGAUUUGAAGCCGGCGAACUCCUCCACUUCGUCAUCGAAGUGCUCGUCGUUGAAUUGCUGGAAGUCGGCCUCGAAAUCCUCGUCGUCCGGAAUCUCCAGCAGCCUCUUCUUCUUCAACCCGAAGCCGACGCGCUUCCUCAGAUCCGGCCAUAGGUAGUCUGCGGUGACCCGCCGGGAUCUCACCGAGGUCACCGACGGCUCGUCGGAGAUCAGCGCUCCACCACACAUCCUUGCUCUUG
Molecule: unclassified non-coding RNA, 360 nt
Filed under: Hevea brasiliensis (rubber tree)
Lineage: Eukaryota; Viridiplantae; Streptophyta; Magnoliopsida; Malpighiales; Euphorbiaceae
Source: RNAcentral